CAGUUCGGAUCGCAGGCUGNAACCCGCCUGCGUGAAGUUGGAAUUGCUAGUAAUCGCGGAUCAGCAUGCCGCGGUGAAUACGUUCCCGGGCCUUGUACACACCGCCCGUCACACCAUGGGAGCCGGUAAUACCCGAAGUCAGUAGCCUAACCGCAAGGGGGGCGCUGCCGAAGGUAGGAUUGGCGACUGGGGUGAAGUCGUAACAAGGUACC
RNAcentral lists this ribosomal RNA (212 nucleotides) under uncultured bacterium. RNAcentral describes it as "partial 16S ribosomal RNA". It matches the Rfam family "Bacterial small subunit ribosomal RNA", at positions 1289 to 1500 of the family's 1533-position model. The record is from RNAcentral.